CUACGGGUGGCACCAGUGGGGAAUAUUGCACAAUGGGCGCAAGCCUGAUGCAGCAACGCCGCGUGAGGGAUGAAGGCCUUCGGGUUGUAAACCCCUUUUAGCAGGGAAGAAGCGAAAGUGACGGUACCUGCAGAAAAAGCACCGGCUAACUACGUGCCAGCAGCCGCGGUAAUACGUAGGGUGCAAGCGUUGUCCGGAAUUAUUGGGCGUAAAGAGCUCGUAGGCGGUUUGUCACGUCUGCUGUGAAAAUCCAAGGCUCAACCUUGGACUUGCAGUGGGUACGGGCAGGCUAGAGUGCGGUAGGGGAGAUGGGAAUUCCUGGUGUAGCGGUGGAAUGCGCAGAUAUCAGGAGGAACACCAAUGGCGAAGGCACAUCUCUGGGCCGUAACUGACGCUGAGGAGCGAAAGCGUGGGGAGCGAACAGGAUUAGAUACCCGUGUAGUC
RNAcentral lists this ribosomal RNA (444 nucleotides) under uncultured bacterium. RNAcentral describes it as "partial 16S ribosomal RNA". It matches the Rfam family "Bacterial small subunit ribosomal RNA", at positions 339 to 795 of the family's 1533-position model. The record is from RNAcentral.